RNAcentral lists this ribosomal RNA (497 nucleotides) under uncultured bacterium. RNAcentral describes it as "partial 16S ribosomal RNA". It matches the Rfam family "Bacterial small subunit ribosomal RNA", at positions 28 to 507 of the family's 1533-position model. The record is from RNAcentral.
GAUGAACGCUGGCGGCGUGCCUAAUACAUGCAAGUCGAGCGAACGGACGAGAAGCUUGCUUCUCUGAUGUUAGCGGCGGACGGGUGAGUAACACGUGGAUAACCUACCUAUAAGACUGGGAUAACUUCGGGAAACCGUAGCUAAUACCGGAUGAUAUUUUGAACCGCAUGGUUCAAAAGUGAAAGACGGUCUUGCUGUCACUUAUAGAUGGAUCCGCGCUGCAUUAGCUAGUUGGUAAGGUAACGGCUUACCAAGGCAACGAUGCAUAGCCGACCUGAGAGGGUGAUCGGCCACACUGGAACUGAGACACGGUCCAGACUCCUACGGGAGGCAGCAGUAGGGAAUCUUCCGCAAUGGGCGAAAGCCUGACGGAGCAACGCCGCGUGAGUGAUGAAGGUCUUCGGAUCGUAAAACUCUGUUAUUAGGGAAGAACAUAUGUGUAAGUAACUGUGCACAUCUUGACGGUACCUAAUCAGAAAGCCACGGCUAACUACUUG